AUUGAACGCUGGCGGCAGGCCUAACACAUGCAAGUCGAGCGGAUGAAGGGAGCUUGCUCCUGGAUUCAGCGGCGGACGGGUGAGUAAUGCCUAGGAAUCUGCCUGGUAGUGGGGGAUAACGUCCGGAAACGGGCGCUAAUACCGCAUACGUCCUGAGGGAGAAAGUGGGGGAUCUUCGGACCUCACGCUAUCAGAUGAGCCUAGGUCGGAUUAGCUAGUUGGUGGGGUAAAGGCCUACCAAGGCGACGAUCCGUAACUGGUCUGAGAGGAUGAUCAGUCACACUGGAACUGAGACACGGUCCAGACUCCGAAGGGAGGCAGCAGUGGGGAAUAUUGGACAAGGGGCGAAAGCCUGAUCCAGCCAUGCCGCGUGUGUGAAGAAGGUCUUCGGAUUGUAAAGCACUUUAAGUUGAGAGGAAGGGCAGUAAGUUAAUACCUUGCUGUUUGGACGUUACCAACAGAAUAAGCACCGGCGAACUUCGU
Molecule: ribosomal RNA, 483 nt
Filed under: uncultured bacterium
Lineage: Bacteria
Description: partial 16S ribosomal RNA
Rfam family: Bacterial small subunit ribosomal RNA
Source: RNAcentral